GAUCAGUGGCUACGAGGACGAACGCUGGCGGCGUGCCUAACACAUGCAAGUCGAGCGAGUGGAUCUCCUUCGGGAGUGAAGCUAGCGGCGGACGGGUGAGUAACACGUGGGCAACCUGCCUCAUAGAGGGGAAUAGCCUUUCGAAAGGAAGAUUAAUACCGCAUAAGAUUGUAGCUUCGCAUGAAGUAGCAAUUAAAGGAGCAAUCCGCUAUGAGAUGGGCCCGCGGCGCAUUAGCUAGUUGGUGAGGUAACGGCUCACCAAGGCGACGAUGCGUAGCCGACCUGAGAGGGUGAUCGGCCACAUUGGGACUGAGACACGGCCCAGACUCCUACGGGAGGCAGCAGUGGGAAUAUUGCACAAUGGGGAAACCCUGAUGCAGCAACGCCGCGUGAGUGAUGACGGCCUUCGGGUUGUAAAGCUCUGUCUUCAGGGACGAUAAUGACGGUACCUGAGGAGGAAGCCACGGCUAACUACGUG
Molecule: ribosomal RNA, 478 nt
Filed under: uncultured bacterium
Lineage: Bacteria
Description: bacterial SSU rRNA
Rfam family: Bacterial small subunit ribosomal RNA
Source: RNAcentral